CUCACACCUAUGAUCCCAACACUUUGGGAGGCCAAGAUUCUAAGGAUCUAAUAUACCGCAUGGUGACUACAGUUAAUAAUACUGUAUAGCAUAUUUGAAAUUUGCUAAGAAGAUUUUAAGUGUUCUCACCACACACAAAAAAAGGUAACUGGGUGACAUGUAUUAAUUAGCUUGAUUGUGGUAAUCAUUUUACAGUGUAUAUUAGAUCAUCACAAUGUAUACCUUAAAUAUAUAUAAUUUUUAUGUGUCAAUUAUAAAGAAAAUCUUUGAUCAUUAAGGAAGCUGAAUAUCCUGCUAUAUCUAACUCAAGCUGAGAAGGGGGAAAAAGCACAAUAGCUAACACUUAGAACACUCCAAGUUGUGUUUUAAGUGCUUUUCAUAUAUUAAAUUCAUGUAAUUCCCAUAACAAUCCUGUGACUGGGCACUAUUAUCAUCAUUAAUCUCCAUCUUAUAUUAAUAGAUGGGGAGACUGAGUGAUAGAGAAGUAACUUGCUUUAAGGGCAUGGGGCAGAGCUGGGAUUUGAACCCAGGUAGCCUAGCACCAGGCUGCAUGCUCUGCCAGGAGGCUGUGCUUCCUCUGUAGUAAGGUGGCCUGUCCCUCUCAACUCUUUCCAUCACUGGGCACAAAGCUACUGCAUCAGCUGUCCUCCAUAUUUAAAACUCAGGUAUACUCUUUGAUGAAACUCUACCUUUAGAGCUUCUACCCACACUACCAAGUCCCAACAAUACCAAAACACUCAUAAGGGAUCUGGCCCAAAGCAAACUGUUCCACAUUACUACUUGGUAGAAAACGAAAAGCUCCUUUUUGAUUUUUCACACUCUGGACAUUUUAGUGUGUCAUGACCCAGUCUGAUAACCUUUUAUGUCUCUUAAGCAUUUUGUUGUGUUUGUAACUUUUUACCCCCUAAUUCAUUUUCACUGUCCUGCAAAGAGUUGGAAUAAAUUAAAUGUCUAACAA
This 958-nucleotide long non-coding RNA is filed under the name Homo sapiens (human). RNAcentral's name for it is "HSALNT0377355". The record is from RNAcentral. Lineage: Eukaryota; Metazoa; Chordata; Mammalia; Primates; Hominidae.